Long non-coding RNA from Rhinichthys klamathensis goyatoka, 381 nucleotides. RefSeq lists it as uncharacterized. The record is from RefSeq and is a predicted model, not a curated record. NCBI's taxonomy places the organism in Eukaryota, Metazoa, Chordata, Actinopteri, Cypriniformes, Leuciscidae. The transcript has 3 exons.
GCAGUGCUGGACUGAAUCAAGGAAUCAGAAAUACAUAUAAAAAAAUCUCAUCAAAUUUCUAACCCCAGGUAACUCCACUGAAGAGAGAGAGAGAGAGGUCACUUCUCCUAAGUGGACUAAAGUUCCUCUGAUUGUUCUGGGUUUCUCUCUUGUUUUUGCUCUCGGAGGUCUCUGCGCUCUCGGGGUGAUUUAUAAUCAUAAGCUUGCUGAUUUCGAAUCACUGAAUGAGCAGAACAUCAUGAUUUCAGAGACACUGGAGGCUCAAGAGAUCAUAAUCACAGCCAUGAAGAAAGAGUUUAAUGAUCUCACAGCCAGAUACAACACACUUCGAGAACGGCUGUCCGUUUACGAAGGUGAGUUCAGUUUACAUGCGACACCAAG